RNAcentral lists this ribosomal RNA (427 nucleotides) under uncultured bacterium. RNAcentral's name for it is "partial 16S ribosomal RNA". It matches the Rfam family "Bacterial small subunit ribosomal RNA", at positions 355 to 774 of the family's 1533-position model. The record is from RNAcentral.
UGGGGAAUAUUGCACAAUGGGCGCAAGCCUGCUGCAGCCAUGCCGCGUGUAUGAAGAAGGCCUUCGGGUUGUAAAGUACUUUCAGCGAGGAGGAAGGCGUUGUGGUUAAUAACCGCAACGAUUGACGUUACUCGCAGAAGAAGCACCGGCUAACUCCGUGCCAGCAGCCGCGGUAAUACGGAGGGUGCAAGCGUUAAUCGGAAUUACUGGGCGUAAAGCGCACGCAGGCGGUCUGUCAAGUCGGAUGUGAAAUCCCCGGGCUCAACCUGGGAACUGCAUCCGAAACUGGCAGGCUAGAGUCUUGUAGAGGGGGGUAGAAUUCCAGGUGUAGCGGUGAAAUGCGUAGAGAUCUGGAGGAAUACCGGUGGCGAAGGCGGCCCCCUGGACAAAGACUGACGCUCAGGUGCGAAAGCGUGGGGAGCAAACA